This is a long non-coding RNA of Prionailurus viverrinus (fishing cat), 724 nucleotides long. RefSeq lists it as uncharacterized. Lineage: Eukaryota; Metazoa; Chordata; Mammalia; Carnivora; Felidae. The transcript has 4 exons. The record is from RefSeq and is a predicted model, not a curated record.
UGCGUCACUUGAGAAGAAGCCUACCUGCGGAAUCCCACCUCAAGCAGUCAUUUGCACACUUAGGUUGAAGCAAAUAAGCUCAUCCUUUUGAGCCAGUGGUCGGAAACAUUCCUCCAAUCUCUCACCAGGGAUCCCUUAUUCCUUUUAGGGCUCAAGCGCACCUGAGAUCAGUAAACUGAGGCCCAGAGAGAGGAAAUGACUCUCCCAAAGCCGUGCACGCAGAUGAAAAGCGCUUGAGGAAAGAAACGAGAGAGGGGACUCACACAUUUCGAGCGUCUGUCACAAGGCGUCACCUCGCUGACAUCCCGCGGCAGAGUCCUCUGGAACAGGUGCGACCGUCAUCACCGUUUUACCCACAGAUAAGAAGACUGAGACCAAAAGAGGAUGUGGUUGUAAACUGCAGCUUCUCCCUUAAAUGAAGUGACUUUCUAUUGAGAGAGCUGGUCAGGACCAGGGACGGAGGGCCACAAGUAGGUGGCCACUGCACUUACUUCCUCGAAGGGAUGGAUGUAAGGCCCUUGGCUUUUGCAAACACCUUCCCGCCUGUCCAGCAGGCCACCAGAUGCCUUUUAUUUAUUUUUCUUGCCUAAUUGCACUGGCCAGGAUUUCCAAUACUCUGUUAAAUAAAAGAGGAGAGUGGACAUCCUAGUCUUGUUCCUGAUCUUGGAGAAAAAACUUUCCACUUGCUAUUAAAUGUGGAUCUGUCAUACAUGGCCCUAAUUAU